Equus caballus (horse) is the source of this 7427-nucleotide non-coding RNA. Lineage: Eukaryota; Metazoa; Chordata; Mammalia; Perissodactyla; Equidae. The record is from RefSeq and is a predicted model, not a curated record.
UUAAACCGGGGGGAGGGGGAGAGACCAUCCCGCCGCCGCCUGCAGCGUUGUCUCCCGGCAUCAUUUCGGUGCAGGGACCCAGCUGACACUUCUUAUUUCGGGUCCUGCCUCCCCAGCAGCAGUCUGCAACUUGCCGGCAUCCAGGCAGGACGGCGGCCACAGAGCAGAGGAGAGAGUCCCAGCAACCUGGUCAACUGCAGAGGCUACCACGGUGCCGUCGGCUUCUCCUCUUUACCCUUGCUGGAGUCUGAGUCUCUGAUUCCCGCCCGCCUGGCUUCUCCAAGCUCCCCGUCCCCCAUCUCCUUGCCCACCCACCCUCUGCAAAGGACCCCGGUAAGUGAGCUGAUGUCUGUGACACUUGGGGUUUGAAGGAGAAUUUGGACACUGCAGCUUUAAGAAUGCCGUACUGCGAAAUCUUUCUCCUUCAAGUGACUGCAGAACCGCAGCAGCAGCAUGGGGAGGAGGCAGGAGGAGGAGGAGUAUGUGGAGGAGGAGGAGGAGGAGGAGAGAGGAAGGGAUACUCACUCCCGGGGUCAGCCCGUUGGGUACCUCGGACUGGGGAGCGCUCAGCCCCAGGCAAUAUCCAAACGCAAUCAGGACCUUACUUUGGGUUGGUUUCCCUCUCCCACAUGCUUGGGGCGGGGGACUCCACAGACUUACUGAGGAGUUUAAGCUUGGUCCUUGCCUUGGUGCGUGCGUUGUCUGGUUACUGGCUCUUUUCAGCCCUGUGGAAUUGGGCUGGAGAAUUCGGGUCUGAUCUCUACUGUGAUCUUUCCAGUCUGCCUUGAACUCUGGGAACACAGACGCAGUCUUCACUGCCUUAUUAAUUGGGGGUGGAGGUUUUCUGUUUUUUGGGUUUAAUGAGAUGAGCUUUGGAGGGAAACUCAAAACAAGGACUUGACUUGUGACUAUGGGGGCAGAGGCUGCAGCAUUUCAGAAGGGAUGAAUUUCCUCUGUGUUAGUAGUAGGUGUUGAAUGAUGGUGCCUGGGACGCCAGGCAGUUGGGGGUGUGCUCCAUAAGGGGCUCAUUCAGAUGGAGAUUGCGCAGAGGCAGCAGAAAGCCCACUUUGGGCAGCAGCUUGUUUUGGGGAAAGGCACAAACAGCCCAAGGCCCCUGAGCCCUGGUCUCUGGGACCAGACUCCCCCCCUACCUGGCAAAAGGGCUGCCCCAAAGCCAGUUGCUGCCUCAGUAGGUGCCUCCUGGAAGAGCUCCCAGUCUGGCACUGCUGGCAUGGCAUUUCCAGACAGGCCGUGCUUGGAUCCAGGUCUGCACUGGGGGUGACGUUAUGCAGGACCAACGUGGCAUCUACCCAGGUGGUCCCAGGCACUGGAAGGGCUGAGCUCCUCAAAAUUCCUUCUCAAGCAAAAAUGUGUCUUUUUACCAAAAAAAACCCACUUUCGGUCUUGCAAUAAAUCAGCUUGAAGGGUGUGCAGCAAACCCCUCAGAUAAAUUAUCCAGGCAAGGCCCCGAAACAGCAACUGGGCCGAGGCUGGCGAUGCACCGUGACCUCCUUGGGUUCCUGCACUGUGUUCUGGUCCUUGCUGUAGAGCCAGACUUGAAGGCUCAUCUGGAGAGGACCGUGCCUGUACUCCACCUGGGGCUGCUGGUUUUGAAGCUCCUUGGGGCGUGAGAGGUGCUCCAAUCAAAGCUUCCGUAGCCAUUUGGAGAAAUGCGGGCUCAUAGACAAAUAUUUUAUAGGGUCUUAGACAACACAGUUGCCUAGACUGGGAGAGCCCUACAGGAUUUAGGAGAGGCAACCCCUAUUUCCCUAAUUAGGAGUGUCUUUCUACUUGCCACUUUCGCAGUCCCCAUUCUGUCCCUCACAACCCUUUGUCUUGAUCCACCCAUUUUUUUAUACAUUCCCUGUAUAUUUAAAACCAUCUUUGACCUCUGCUCGUAAAUCUGUGGCGGGUGUUUGCAGAACCCCCUGAAUGUUAUGCGGAACUCUAAUUUUUCAGACUACCAUCCUUAGAUGUGAAAGAUUUCAUGUCCAGUGCACCCAGACAGGUCAUCAGGGUCCCACACCCUGGGGUCUUUGAGGUCAGCACCACGUGAUAUCUGUGAAUUUGUGUGCAUCAGGCAGAGCUUGACCCCCGACUCUAGGAAGCUGCUAGGAUGUGCCGUUUGGACAAACGAUGAGUCUCCCCUCAUCAGUAGGAUGGAGGUGUCAUGGCAUUGCCACCCUGGGGAGCUGGAGGACAGGGCUGGCAUGCCCAGGCACACUCAUCUCCCACUCAGUGCCUCCCUACCCAGCCCGGAUGACAAAUAAUCAUCCUUUAUAUCUGGAAUUAAUUCCUUUAUAUCUGGAAUUAGCCAAGAGAAAGACCUCUUGUCAAUGACUGCAAAGCAAAUGCUGCUGUUGGCCCCCAGCAUCCUGUCCAUGUCCACUGGUCUCUGGUCCCCUAUGGGGAGGUCAGGUGAGACAGGAACUUCACAAAUGUGCUGUGAGGGGGAGCAGGUGACCCCUGAGCCCAGCGCUGUGACGUCACUGGAGCUUGUGAAAUGAACUGCACACACUGCCAGGAUGAGCUGAACGAGAAGCUGCCACAAGCUUCCCAGCUCCUUCCCUCAGGCAGGCGCUGUCUGGACCAAAGGGACCACUCAAGACAGCCGGGGAAGAAGCAGCCAAGGUGACACAGACCCUCAGGGGUGGAUAGGCGGAGGGAGGGCCUCCGCCCCUGCAGGCCCCUGGAUGCCCUCAUCUCUCAGGCCACAGAACAGGAAAGCCAGCUUGGGAGGAGCUGGUAAGGCAAGAGCUGGCCCUGGACGGCGAGGGGCCAGCAUUUCCCAGGUCUUGCCAGGCAGAAAAUCCAACGCAUUGCUGACAACCACCACACCCUGCUAUUCCCAUGUCAGAACCACUGGGCAGUGAGGACAAGAUUUUCCCCUGGCUGUCCGCAGGUCAGAUCCCCAUGGCCUUGUGCCUGCCCCACAGUAACAUCUAGGAGGUGAUAGGUCUUUAAAAAGAAUUCUCUAUCUUUCCAUCCCCCAGAGUACUUGCUGCGGGGCACAUUAUUAUUAUCCAGUAAUUGCUGAGGGGAGAAAAUGAGGCGGGCCUGGUCCUGGCAUUAGGUGAGGGUGCGCUGGAGGGGCACGGAGCGGGGUGUACGUCUUGGUCCGAGGCUCCUGGGCACCUCGCAAUGCACCAGUGCUGACUCAGGGCUGCUCUAGCGCUCUCCUCUCGCACCCCAUCAACUGCCCCAGCCUUGGCCAGCUGAGCCCGUGCUGCCGGUUCUUCGGUCUCCUUGCGCAGGGACAGUUGGAACCCAAGCUGCUGCGGGCCCUCCCCCGCCCUCCUGGGCCAAGUCAGCAGUGCUGGCGGCUGCGGGGCUGCAGCGGCGGGCGGCGCAGGGGCCCUGCACCACUGCUCCGGGCUGCCGGCGGCGCGCUCACGUCCCGACGGCCACCUCCCGGCGGCUGCGCGCAGCCCGCGCCGAGACAGGACCCCGUCCCUGAUUGGUGCGUGAGUGAGACUCUGGCUUUGUUUAUACAACGAUUUCUUCACGACUCUACUUCACCGGAGUUGAGGGCUGGGGCAGGAGGCAGUCUUCCACGGCGCGAAGGAUGACAAACAGAGCUCUUGUACCGACUGCCUUCGGGCGGGCAUCCUUGGACGGGCCGUUUUCUCAAAUGCUUCUGUAUGGAGCACCCACCAGGUGUGGGGCGUGAUUUUUGGGAACCUCGGGAGAAGAACAAGAUGUGCAGCUCCUCGGAAGGGUUAGGAGGGUGAAGGCUUUGCGAGGAACCCAGGGAAGCUGUGUCCAGGGCCCUGGCUUUGGACUUCCUACUCUGAAUCGUGGACGCCAGUUUGGAAAGCGGGGCUGCCAUUCCAGUUGGGGGGUAAGGAAAGGAUUCCCAACUCAGGCAUCCUCUUAGGUGAGGGCAAAGGGACCCUCUGGGACCACACCCUUGAAUGCUCCCGCUCAGGAUUCCUGGGAAAGCCUAUGGAGACAGUUUGGGGUACAAAGGCGGUGGGAGAAGGUUUUGUCCCCAGUGUCAUGGAGUUAGUUGUGGAAGGUUAAGGUUGGAUCCAGAGGAAGUCCAGCUUCCCCUGCAGAGGGAAGCUGAGCCAGCAAAUGUGGGUGGGGUGCAGUAGCUGCUAACCCUCCUGAGUGAUGUGAGGGGCUUAGGUGGCAGGAGCCAGGGGCCUAGGGACAGAGAGAGCAGCCCCAGGGGGUCCAGACUGCACCUUGUGCCCUGAAUAGCAGCCUCUGGUGCAGGUCUCAAUUAUGCCAGCAGCAUGAAAAUGCUGCCCGACUUGUCCCCAGGGGCUGGUUCCUUGGCAGAAGCCCUGUCUCCCGACAAGAUGGGAAGUGAUGUCACGCUGCGCACAGGAGCCUGCUCUUCUGGGGAUGUUCACGGGUGUGACACAGUUCAGAGACUGUUGCCUCUCACUGACCUGGACCUUGGACUUCCAGAGGAAGAGCCUUGGCACUGGCGGCCGCUUCUUCCCAUCGCUCGCGCCUGUCCAGAAUGACACCAGGAGCCCUCCUGUUCAAUCUGGGACAGGCACAGCACUGCGGCUGCCAGUCUUCCUGCCAAGGACAUGGGGACAGGCCGCUCUCCGGGGGACUGCCUGCACCCUCCAGGCAGAGCCAACUGGCCAGCCAAGUCCCUGUGGCUUCUCCGGGGACUAAGACAUAAGAAAAGAUCUGACUAAGGAUCAGAACUUGUCUUUCCUUUUGUGCAUGUGAACUUUAACCCCACAAAUGCAAGAUACUUAGAAAUCAUCUGGUCCAAGGCCCAGAGUCAGAGAUGAGGAUGGUGAGGCUCACAGAUUAACUGACUUGCCCAAGGACAUGGGACGCUCAGGGCAGACCUGGGAGUCCCUGGAAAAUGUUCCGACCUGGCAUGUGGGACAAGGAUGAAAUCAUCAGCCCUGGACCCAUCAGGCGCCCCAACUCAGGUGAAGUAGGACAAGGUCCCUGGAGGCCGAAAGUGGCUGCUCUCCCAAGGUGUUCCCUCUAGGCAAGUGGAAGAGACACGGCUCCAGCAAAGAAGUCCUGGGAGUCCUGCAGCUGUCUUGGAGCAGGCCGUCUUUGUCACAGGAAGAACCACUCAAGCGUCCCUUUGACACUGGGUUCUGAGGACAGGGGAAGGCUGGAAGUGUUUGGCUGAGGAAGGGCUGUAGCCAGGUGAGCUGCGUUCCCUCCCCCAGUGAGAAGGUGACUGGAAAUUUGAAGUGGGGCCAAUGGGCCUUGGGGGAAAAGAAGGUGGAGUCCCAGACCUUGGACCGUCUCGGAUAGACUGGGAUGGCCCCGAUGUCAGCCGACAGGCGGGAGGGCACCUCAAAGGGCGAGGUGUCUGGGGAACGAAAUCAUCUGAAGCCGACCCCAGGGACUAGGAAGUCCUAGAGAAGGGGUGGACUCAGCACCCUGGCAGCAUUUGUUGGUGAUUGACAGCAGACUCUGAAGCCAGACUGCCUGGGCUCACAACCCAGCUCUGCUGCUAACUAGCAGCAUAACCUUGGGUGAGCUCUCUAACCCCUCCGUGCCUCAGUUUCUUUAUCUGUGAGACAGGGAGAAUAAAAGCCUAGGGUUACUGUGAGGAUUAAACAAGAUACUAUUGCAAGCACUUGGGCCUGAGCUUGGCCAAGAGAGACCCCUAAUCUGUGUUUGUUGAAUCGUCCAAUGUGUGGAUCGGCAAGACUCAUGUCUCCAAAGAGCUGUGACAUGGAGGGCUGUGGGUUGGCCCUGUCUGGGACAGGGGGACAUCCUCCUCCAUCACCCUGCCCAACUGCACCUGGGAAAACCAGCCGAUUGCUACCUGACCGUCCCAGAUCUCUUCUGAAGGGACUGUGGGGGUGAUAGCCACGACUGGCAUCCUUGGGGUGAGCUGCUGCUCCCAGAAUUCUUGGGCAGCUGGGAUCCUCGACCUUCCCACAGUCCUUAGGGCGGGACCUUGGGACCAUCAACGGUUUGGACAUUAAUAGGAUAUUGGCCCUAUGUUCCACUUUAAGCUGGAGAAAUGGGAGGUACCAGUCACGUGUAGUUUUGAAAGCUGCAGCAGCCAAGAGACCUGGGCAAGUCUCACUUCUCCGCGCACGCAAGGUCGGGGAGUUUUCACUUGUUCCAAUAACAAUGGAGGAGUUUCCCACGGUGCAGGCCACCUUGUCAAAUCAUGCUCCUGUGUUCUGAGGUUAACCACCCUGCCUUUGGGAUUCAGCAGAGGUCCAAAUCCCAGAUCUGUCGCUUUCAAGCUGUAGGACCUUAGACAAGGACAGGGACUGAAGCUUCUCUGAGACUCAGUUUAUCACUUGCUAAACGGGCCUAACACCGGGGGUUUCAUAGAGCUGCUGGGGAUUGAAGGAGAGCAAGUCUGCAAAACCCGUAAGUCUGUCACACGCAUAAUGAGGACUUGACAAAUGGGAGCUAAAUAAUGUAUGUAUGUAUAUGUAUUAAAUAGCUGUAGAUCGGUCCAUCCAAGUAUAGAUAACUCCUAAGAAUUGAUCUCUCUCUGUCUUCAGUUAGGAAAAAGGUUGAUUUGAUGCAUGAGCCAAAGAGUGACUUUAGGAGCUGGAAAAUAAACAGAACCUUAAAGCUAUGUUUAGUUAAAAUGUCUAGUCAGCAUAGCAAUGAGGAAAUACUUCAAAGCAAUUCUCCCCUUUGUACAGCAUUUUGACUUUUUACAUUUAUUUGUUAUUUUUAAUCCGGUGGUGAUUUCUUCACCAAGCUGGGCUUCCUUCUUCAGAGAUGGGGCCUUGAAAAUUGUGCCUGCCGACACAGGGCUUUGUCAGUGCUAGAUGGGCUCCCUGGAGCACCCCCCCACCCAUGCCACAUAAUACACACUGGCCUGUACACCAUCACCCCACGGAGUAAGUCUCUGAUGUUGGGGCCACAAUGAAGAAAGCCCCAGCCCGCAAGACCCCUUUCUUCUGCAGGGUCCGGGCCGAGGCCCUGCAGCUACAGUCCCAUCUUCAAGGGCCUAAGAGACAGGCUGCUUUGGCCUCAGGGCCCUGGCUGAAAACCACUGCAGCCAUAGGAUGCUGACCCUCCUGAGUCACCCACAACCAGGAUUCCAUCUUCUAAGUGAGGGAGGUAGCGUUGACCAAGGUGCAGGGCUUUCCGUCCUGCCGGCUUCAUGCCGAGUAUGUCUAGCCAGUAAGGAGGAAUGGGGGCUCCUUUUUGUUUGUUUGUUUUCUCCUGAGAUAUAACUCACAUGCCAUAAAUUCUACCAUUAAAAAGUGUACAAUUCAGUGGGAUUUAUUAUAUUCACGAAAUUGUGCAACCAUCACCAUGAUCUAAUCCCAGGACAUUGUUUUCCUUUUUGUCAUUCACAUUUUUGGACGCGAUCCAUCGGUAGGUUGACUGGGAAGCAGGACUCCUCGGGUCUCUGUGGUUAAAUUAAGACCUGAAUGCCUCCUGGGUGCCCUGUUUCACCGCUGGGUCUGGGGACGCAGGUGCAGCGCCCCGCGGGGGGCAGAAGU